CCUACGGGUGGCAGCAGUCAGGAAUAUUGGUCAAUGGACGAGAGUCUGAACCAGCCAAGUAGCGUGAAGGAUGACUGCCCUAUGGGUUGUAAACUUCUUUUAUAUGGGAAUAAAAUGUUCCACGUGUGGGAUUUUGUAUAUACCAUAUGAAUAAGGAUCGGCUAACUCCGUGCCAGCAGCCGCGGUAAUACGGAGGAUCCUAGCGUUAUCCGGAUUUAUUGGGUUUAAAGGGAGCGUAGGUGGAUUGUUAAGUCAGUUGUGAAAGUUUGCGGCUCAACCGUAAAAUUGCAGUUGAAACUGGCAGUCUUGAGUACAGUAGAGGUGGGCGGAAUUCGUGGUGUAGCGGUGAAAUGCUUAGAUAUCACGAAGAACUCCGAUUGCGAAGGCAGUUCACUGGACUGCAACUGACACUGAGGCUCGAAAGUGUGGGUAUCAAACAGGAUUAGAUACCCUUGUAGUC
This 460-nucleotide ribosomal RNA is filed under the name uncultured bacterium. RNAcentral's name for it is "partial 16S ribosomal RNA". It matches the Rfam family "Bacterial small subunit ribosomal RNA", at positions 338 to 795 of the family's 1533-position model. The record is from RNAcentral.